GUGUGAUGGGACUUGGGCGGAUUUAACCUGCUCAGGGUGUGUAAUGAUUAACAGCCACCAAGUUAUCAAGAACGUGCCGUUUGCCGCGGAGAGAAAGACAGCUGGGUGAUGUCAUCAUUUAAAGGAAAGGACGCCUGCCCGGAGCCCGGGGAGAAAGCCACUGUCGCUGGGACCGAGCCCACGAGGACCGUGGGGCUGGAGGCUGCGGAGGAGCCGACCAAGCUGCCGGUGGGAGCCGCAGCGGCUGAGCCUGUCGGUAAUCAGCUGUGUGGGAGGGUUCGAGGACAGCAGCCAGGAACCUGCUGUUGUUUUUGUUUUUGAAGCUACACAUCCCACCUCCACCCCCCCAAGCGGAGAGGACGCUCAAUCAGUGCAGAUGUUCCCUUGGCAAGAAUCCACACACUUGAACAUGAAGAAGUAGACGCCCGGUCAUCUGCUCGCCGAUAAGGAUCUCGUAGAGAAUCGGCUUACGCUGAAAUGCUCAUUCUGAAACCCGCAGUGCCCGUCUGCAGACAGCUGCCCCUCGCGCACAGUGUUCGUCGGUCGGACCCCAAGGAUCCGGCGCCUUCGCCAAUCCCCAAGGACAGUUCUGCCCAGAGCUCUCUGGGCAGCUAUAUGGGCCAGAAGCGGCGUGACCCUCCACCCGGCAUGCAUGCCAGUCGGCCCUGGUUUCAUCCCCACCGAAAUGCCCACUCCACCUCUAAACCUCACACUGUUCGUUGUGAAUCACACCUGAGUGCCACACCCUGAGCUGCAGAGAAUCAGUGUGUGGCCGACUGAGAAGAAGCCGCUUCGAUUUUCCUGGAAUCGGUUAUCACCUCGCUGCUCCACAACUGGCUUCAGGUGGGACAUUCACGGACCGGUUUCCUCUCAAACUUGCCAAUUCGGAGGCUGCGUUUUCCACUCCUUGUCCGGUUACCAACGCUGAUGCGGGCAGGUCGUUUUCCUUAACUCUGAGCUUCAGGCCAGACGAGCCGCCUGAUUCAGAGUGGGGCCGGCCCGCUGGUGUGCAGGUCACAGCCAGCGACGUGACCGGCGGAGCUACGGGGAGCCCAUCGGCCGUAGCCUCCCGCAUGCGGGCCCCUGCCGCCCGGCCACGUAUGUCCUGAAACUCAGAAUCAAUCUCUAAGGACAGAAAGCAAAGAAAUGUCUGGGUGCCUGGGACCCUUGCGGGAAUUCUUGAAGGCACAGAGCAGGCAGGUGGUUUGAUGGAGAAAUUGCAUCAAAGGAAGAGGCUGGCAUAGUCAUGGAGAUGCCUUCUGCGAACGCCGUUCCAGAGUUCUGAGAAAGCUCUGUUUAUGGAAAUGGAACAGGACACAGCCUGGGGCGGCGGUCACGUGACUACUUGGAGACCCAUUCAGAGCGUCACUCCCCCGCCCACCGCAGCCCCGCCUGUGCAAGGCUGCCUCCCUGGGCUGUGCCUGCAGCCCAGAGCGCUGGGGCCGGAGACUCGAGGGUACUCUGGCCAGAAGCAAGGUCCUUCCUCUGCCAGCCUCUUGGGGAUUUUGAAACACAGAUAUGGGCAUAAAAUUUUAAAUCACAAAACGAAGACCAAGAAAAACAAAACACUCAAUGAACAGAGACCAGCACCCAUGGGAACAUUUCACAGACAGAUGUUCCAGUGGAACUCAGAGCCCUGGCCGGGGGCUCGGAUGGUUAGAGCGUCGUCCUGAUAGGCCAAGGUUGCAGGUUCGACCCCCGUCCGGAGCACAGAAAAGAACCAAGCAAUGAAUGUCUAAAGAAAGUGUAAGGGAGGAGGGAUGGAGAGAGAGAGAGAAAUACGGAUGUGAGAGACACAUCCACUGGUCGCCUCCUGCACGCGCCUCGACCUGGUCCAGGGAUCUAACCUGCGACCCCAUUACCUGACCUUGACCGGGAAUCCAACCCGCAACCUUUCGAUGCGUGGGCCGAUUCUCUAACCACUGAGCAACCGGCCAGGGAGAGAAGGGCCAGGUGUUAGAAGCGAGGACCACAUCCCAGAUUGAGGGCAACACUGACAUAACCCUGCCCUCACAAGUCCUAGAACCGAGCCGCCACAGCAACCUGCUGGGAACGGAACCGCCUUCCAGAGCAAAAGCCAUCACUUUUCAGAGGAAGAGGAAAAACCAGUGCAUACAGGGCGCCACCCCUCAGCAUAGGGACCCGAUCAAAAUCCACGGGGCACGCAGAGGAGCGGAGGUGGCAGCCGUCAUCAGAGGAAAAAGCCGCCAACGGGAGCAGAUGCUCUCUCCUCUCUGACAUUUCUACCUCCCUCUCCCUUCCUUUCUCUGAAAUCAAUAAAAACAUCUCUUUAAAAAUGGUAGUGAUUAAUAUCCAGAACAUAUGAAGAAUUCCUUCGAAUCAAAGACAAAAAUCACAACAACCGAUAAAUGAGUAACAGGCCGUUAUUACACAGAACAAGAAGCCACAGGACGAGACGUUCCGUCAGGAACAGGAAAAUGCAGGCGCAGCCCACGCCCACCGCACGGGCCGUCAUUAAAACUCGGGACGGCGGCUAGUGCGCCGGGAGGGGGACGACAGCCAUUCUCCCUCGAGGCUCCUGGGUGAGGAGCCCUCACCCACUCGGGAAGUGGGCUGGCACUUCCCGGUGCAGGGCUCCUCACGGGGCGCCUGGCGCUGCUCAGGGGUCUGUGAACGUGAAGGGGAAACACCCCCGUCUUCUCUUCACUGGCCUCCGACUGAGACUCGGCUGUGUCUCCCAUCAGGAAGGAACGGAACCGGAGCAGCAGCGGCCCCUGUGACUUUAUCCGGGGACACAGGUUUUCGGCGUCACAUUCAACUUGCUGCCGAAGCCGCGGAACAUCACUUACGCUCAUCGCCGUUCAAAAUGACGGUGGUCAUUAGUCCAGUGGCUGCAUAUGACCACUUACUGGCAGGGGGACAACGGAUUGCUUUACCAUAAACUUGGGUUUUUCUAAUAUUUUGAAAACCACCUUCCAAUACCAUUGGUUUCCCUGUAAUCCUCUGCAUUGUAUUUUCUCUCUUAAAAUGCUACUCUAA
Myotis lucifugus (little brown bat) is the source of this 3000-nucleotide long non-coding RNA. RefSeq lists it as uncharacterized. The record is from RefSeq and is a predicted model, not a curated record. NCBI's taxonomy places the organism in Eukaryota, Metazoa, Chordata, Mammalia, Chiroptera, Vespertilionidae. The transcript has 2 exons.